RNAcentral lists this ribosomal RNA (526 nucleotides) under Lactiplantibacillus paraplantarum. RNAcentral describes it as "bacterial SSU rRNA". It matches the Rfam family "Bacterial small subunit ribosomal RNA", at positions 931 to 1456 of the family's 1533-position model. The record is from RNAcentral. Lineage: Bacteria; Bacillati; Bacillota; Bacilli; Lactobacillales; Lactobacillaceae.
GGUGGAGCAUGUGGUUUAAUUNGAAGNUACGNGAAGAACCUUACCAGGUCUUGACAUACUAUGCAAAUNUAAGAGAUUAGACGUUCCCUUCGGGGACAUGGAUACAGGUGGUGCAUGGUUGUNGUCAGCUCGUGUCGUGAGAUGUUGGGUUAAGUCCCGCAACGAGCGCAACCCUUAUUAUCAGUUGCCAGCAUUAAGUUGGGCACUCUGGUGAGACUGCCGGUGACAAACCGGAGGAAGGUGGGGAUGACGUCAAAUCAUCAUGCCCCUUAUGACCUGGGCUACACACGUGCUACAAUGGAUGGUACAACGAGUUGCGAACUCGCGAGAGUAAGCUAAUCUCUUAAAGCCAUUCUCAGUUCGGAUUGUAGGCUGCAACUCGCCUACAUGAAGUCGGAAUCGCUAGUAAUCGCGGAUCAGCAUGCCGCGGUGAAUACGUUCCCGGGCCUUGUACACACCGCCCGUCACACCAUGAGAGUUUGUAACACCCAAAGUCGGUGGGGUAACCUUUUAGGAACCCAGCCGC